This 71-nucleotide transfer RNA is filed under the name Camelus bactrianus (Bactrian camel). It matches the Rfam family "tRNA". From Rfam's summary of the family: Transfer RNA (tRNA) molecules are approximately 80 nucleotides in length. Their secondary structure includes four short double-helical elements and three loops (D, anti-codon, and T loops). The record is from Rfam by way of RNAcentral. Lineage: Eukaryota; Metazoa; Chordata; Mammalia; Artiodactyla; Camelidae. RNAcentral also lists the same sequence under 2 other names.
GGGGGAUAGCUCAGUGGUAGAGCGCAUGCUUAGCGUGCACAAGGUCCUGGGUUCAAUCCUCAGGACCUCCA